UACUCAAACAAGGUUUCCUACUCGAAGUAGGAAAGUUAAAUCCAAAUGGCAUCAAGUUUCAGCAACAAAGAAGUUUUCCAAGUCCAAGAAGGAAAAGGAAUCCAAGAUGAAGAAGGAGAAAAAUUCCAAGUCAAGGGAGGAUUUUCACAUGUUUUCCUAAUGCUAGAAGGACUCCUAAGUGUUGUAGAACACAAAUGAGAAGUUUCUAGAGUGUUCUCCUCCUUGCCGUGAGUUUCCUACAUUUCCUAUCAGUUUUGGGGCUUUCUAGAAGCCCUAUCCCUAAUCCCUACAUUGGUGCCGCACCCUAGCUUCUACAAAUCUGAUUUCCUUGCCUUGCAAGGCUUUCUAGAAGCCUUAUCCACCUUAUCCCUAUCCAGCCGCACCUAGGAGCCUUUUUCCUUGCAAAAUCUGAUUGUUUAGACCUAUUUCCUUGUGGAUUUGGGUUAUCCAAGUCCAUAUCUGAUUACCCUAGGGUUUUAAGUGCCUAUAUAUACUCCUAUUAGCCCCUAAAUCAGAUCACCACUCACCACAAUUCACAAUUCACUCCAGAAAUUCGUCCAAACUCUCUCCACACCUUUGCCGCACCAUUCCCUUCCCCUAAACACUACUACAUCCCUCCAUAACCAUGCAUCCAUACCCCUAAGGCUCUAAACCUGUCCCUAGACCCUUGCCGCACCAAGGAGGAGGAGAAGGAAGCUCGGAAGUUCAUGCAAUUCAAGUUCGCGUCGCUGGAAUUUCUAGGUGUUUCUUUUCCUUUGAUUUCAAUGUUUAAAUUCAAUUCUCUUUGUUUUGUGCGUAUGAGGAACUAAACCCCCCUUGGCUAGGGGGGAUUCGAAAUACAUGUUUAUGCUUGCGUUAUGAUUUGAUUACUUCUAAUUGCGUUUCAUAAGUUGUGAAUUCAAUUUACUUAUCUAUUCGAAUUACAUUGAUUUAUGUGUAUUGGUUGAGAGUGCACGCUUAAUUAUCAUGCAUAAAUUGAAUGCUAGGAUAUAAGGAAAUUUCACCUAAUCGUUAUGGAAUUAUAUUCACAAGUAGUAAAGGUUGAUGAUCUCAAUCGCGUUAAGUAAAUUCUUGGCAUAAGUUUCAUGCAAUCAUAGUAACAAGUGCUUCGUCAAUGCUUAUGGUUUUCAUAGAACUUAAUGAUUCUUGCUUGUAUCUCUAUUAUGCAAUCAUGUAGGGGACUUGUGGGGAAUGUUUGGGUUGUCGUAUGCAAUCAUCCAAUUCAAUAACGUUAGGAAAAUCUGAAGGUUAAUUUAAGCGAACCUAAUUAACUUGGGGCAUUGAGAAUUCAUGGUUUAUUGAAAAGCAAUUGGAAAUCGUUUGGUAUGCAAGUAUAACAUGUGUGGAGAUGAACCCCUUAGCUAGCCUUCCAUUCACCCAUUUAAAUCAAAUUCGUUUUUACAAUCUGUUCUACUUUACAAAGUUUGUUUUGGUUUUUAAAUUCAUCCAAAACCAAUCCCCCUUUGUUUUAAAGUGUCAAAUUAGUUAGUAAGUGUUUUACUUUGUGUUUUUAAGUGUUUUGAUUCAAGUUAAAACCCAAAUUCGUCCAAUUUGGUGCUUAGUGUCCAAAACUGCCCAGAUUGUGUUUUUAAGGCAAUUUUGAGUGUUUUGGUGCUUUUUUGAGUCUUUUGGUUUGUUUUGGUGUUUUAAAGUUUAGUUUUGCAUCCUUUGAGUCUAUUUUAGUGUUUUAAACUUUUUUUUACGUUUUUGAGUCAAUUCCAAGUGAUUUGCAAUCCCUCCUAAUCCUCGGUCUAGAACGAUCCCUACUUACAU
Molecule: long non-coding RNA, 1773 nt
Filed under: Malus domestica (apple)
Lineage: Eukaryota; Viridiplantae; Streptophyta; Magnoliopsida; Rosales; Rosaceae
Description: long non-coding RNA (MDOM_LNC016502)
Source: RNAcentral